UUUAAAAAAAAAAAAAAAAUCUCAGAGCAAAAGUUUCUAUUGAUUAAAAAAUUAAGAAGUGAAAAUAUCAAGCUAUUAUAUUGAUUUCUUUUAGAAUUUUGUCCAAGUGGAAUUGCAAUUUUAUUGAUUAAAGAAAAAUUUAAAACAUUACAAGAUCCUUUUUUUUUUAGUAUAUAAAAGAUAAAAAUCCAUCAAAUGGCAUAAAGAAAAAGAAAUUCAGC
RNAcentral lists this unclassified non-coding RNA (221 nucleotides) under Hevea brasiliensis (rubber tree). Lineage: Eukaryota; Viridiplantae; Streptophyta; Magnoliopsida; Malpighiales; Euphorbiaceae. The record is from RNAcentral.